CUGGCUCAGGAUGAACGCUAGCGACAGGCUUAACACAUGCAAGUCGAGGGGCAGCAUAGAAGUAGCAAUACUUGGUGGCGACCGGCGCACGGGUGAGUAACGCGUAUGCAACCUACCUAUCAGAGGGGAAUAACCCGGCGAAAGUCGGACUAAUACCGCAUAAAACAGGGGCACCGCAUGGUGAUAUUUGUUAAAGAAAUUCGCUGAUAGAUGGGCAUGCGUUCCAUUAGGUAGUUGGUGAGGUAACGGCUCACCAAGCCGACGAUGGAUAGGGGAACUGAGAGGUUGGUCCCCCACACUGGUACUGAGACACGGACCAGACUCCUACGGGAGGCAGCAGUGAGGAAUAUUGGUCAAUGGGCGGGAGCCUGAACCAGCCAAGUCGCGUGAAGGAAGAAGGAUCUAUGGUUCGUAAACUUCUUUUGCAGGGGGAUAAAGUGCAGGACGUGUCCUGUUUUGUAUGUACCCUGAGAAUAAGGAUCGGCUAACUCCGUGCCAGCCGCCGC
This 506-nucleotide ribosomal RNA is filed under the name uncultured bacterium. RNAcentral describes it as "bacterial SSU rRNA". It matches the Rfam family "Bacterial small subunit ribosomal RNA", at positions 19 to 518 of the family's 1533-position model. The record is from RNAcentral.